This 506-nucleotide ribosomal RNA is filed under the name Brenneria roseae subsp. roseae. RNAcentral's name for it is "bacterial SSU rRNA". It matches the Rfam family "Bacterial small subunit ribosomal RNA", at positions 1030 to 1533 of the family's 1533-position model. The record is from RNAcentral. Lineage: Bacteria; Pseudomonadati; Pseudomonadota; Gammaproteobacteria; Enterobacterales; Pectobacteriaceae.
UGAGACAGGUGCUGCAUGGCUGUCGUCAGCUCGUGUUGUGAAAUGUUGGGUUAAGUCCCGCAACGAGCGCAACCCUUAUCCUUUGUUGCCAGCACUUCGGGUGGGAACUCAAAGGAGACUGCCGGUGAUAAACCGGAGGAAGGUGGGGAUGACGUCAAGUCAUCAUGGCCCUUACGAGUAGGGCUACACACGUGCUACAAUGGCGCAUACAAAGAGAAGCGAGCUCGCGAGGGCAAGCGGACCUCAUAAAGUGCGUCGUAGUCCGGAUUGGAGUCUGCAACUCGACUCCAUGAAGUCGGAAUCGCUAGUAAUCGUAGAUCAGAAUGCUACGGUGAAUACGUUCCCGGGCCUUGUACACACCGCCCGUCACACCAUGGGAGUGGGUUGCAAAAGAAGUAGGUAGCUUAACCUUAGGGAGGGCGCUUACCACUUUGUGAUUCAUGACUGGGGUGAAGUCGUAACAAGGUAACCGUAGGGGAACCUGCGGUUGGAUCACCUCCUUACCU